AUGAACUGCAGAUACAAAAACUCUUU
RNAcentral lists this non-coding RNA (26 nucleotides) under Cricetulus griseus (Chinese hamster). Lineage: Eukaryota; Metazoa; Chordata; Mammalia; Rodentia; Cricetidae. The record is from RNAcentral.